UCAUUCAAAUGGCCUCUUUAAUUGCCAAGAAAUGAAUAUAGACUAGAGGACCCAUUUUAAUUUAUGGCCGUGGAUGGAGCUUCACUCAGGGUUUGUGUUCAUAAAUGCACGUUUCUUCCACAGUAAGCUGCAUGAGCAGCCCUGUUGGAGUCUAACCAGCUGCCGCCAAUGCUGGCCCUUAGGGCCUGAUUACAGAGACUGGAUGGACUUGCUACUGCAUGCUGGUCCAACUCCUGCUUGGCUCCCACGUGGAAGUCACUAUCUUUUAGGCUGGCAUCCAAGUUUGACAUCGUUUAUCUACAUGAACAGGAAACACGUUUUCCCAGAAGGUGGAGGGGAGAAGGGCCCCCCCACCCCCAGCACUCCCAUGGCUGCAGCGCCCCUCGCUGGAGCGUGCACAUCUUCAUUUCCAGGAUGCAGCUGCAUUCCUGGCUGUGUGGUCCAUGUGAAUGUUGGUUUGUCACUUCUCCGUAAGCAGCGUGCAGAAGCAUGAUGUGCCUGGGACUUGGUAGUGCUACCAUCUAGAUUCUAUCUUUCUAACGAGCAGAAACAGAAGUUAUGCAGUUGCAGCAGUUGGCAGCCCUUGCUUUGGUAGCCUGAGUAAAUAUUCUUUAUGAUUUGAGAGAAGAGAUACACAUUGGGGUAGAACUACGAAUAGUCAGCCAGACCCUACCUACUGUUUUGGUCCACGAGCUUAGACUCUGGGCUACAGUACAGUCUAAUCGGAGUCCAGUCAUUCAUCCUGUGGAUGCACAGCUGGGGACACUGGGUAGAAAACAUGUGGAGCCAUCCCACCUCAUUUCUCAAGGAGGGGACGCUGAGAAGCAGAAGGGGUCUUGCCAACUGCUAUAGGGAUGUGGGUUUCAUCAAGCCAAGAGGAUUACUCAGGACUGAAUCUGAGUCCAAACACGCACAUAUAAUCCAUGAGCUAAGUGUUUAGGUUUCCAAAGCAAAGAUAAAAUAUGCACAGAGUCCAUGGUUUGAGCACUUAAGGAUUGAGGUUUAAGAAACCCAGAGGGUAGUUCCAAAUAAGUGAAGUUCAAAUGAGCGUGGAUAACAGAUGUGGGCUCAUCCCAGACAGCAGAAUGUAAUGUGGGCCGAUGAACCAGAGCCAUUUUGAGGCUGAAAAUGUCUAGUUGUCUCCUAUUUAAGUUCGCUUCAUGAAGUCAUGAGUGGGGCCAUGCAGAAUGAAGGAUUGACUGUGCUGGCGGGGGCACAGGUUGCAGGCCUCUGUCAGACUCUGCCUGGUUCCCUCCUUGGCACACAUUGUUACUGCCGAUGGAGGUGUGCAGCUCCCAUUAGCAGGUUCAAACCAGCCUUGUCUCUGGAACCAAACCUAACUUUAGACAAAAAAAGAAAAGCAACAUAAGGCUUAGAAUUAAGACAUCCAAGCUCGAAGUCAACCUUUUACUAUAUGUAAAGCUCUGUAUUGGACUUGUGAUUCAUUGAGCAGAUCCCAUUCCACAUUGUCUCCAGCUUCUGGAAAACUGUGCUUUUCCCAGUGAUGAAUUCUGUCUUGGUUUUUGACCAGUAUCUCAGUCUCUUUAGGACUGAGGCCGGUCUCUAAACCCCAGUGCAGUGGCCAGGAAAUUGUUGACAGACCUUAAAGAUGCAGGAAUUGUUUUGACAUAGACUUAGAAAAUAUCCUCUGGCGCCCUGUUUUCCAUACGAGGACUAUCAGUGUUAAUGCAUUCCCUUGGUUUGUGUUUGGAUAUUGCGUAUGGUCCAUCAGUCUGGAGUUUCUCCCUGUAUCUGCAUAAACUUCAGCGACUAUGUUUAGUUCCACCUCACGGCUUUUCCAACUGGCCUCAUACCAUUAUUGUGAAGCAGAGCAUUUCACUCACGUAAGAUACAGAGUUAUGCUGCCGUUCCAUUCCCCCUUUAUGUAAACCUAGGGCUGGCCUCCUUUGAAAUAAUUGCAAAAGACCAACAUCUGUGUGGCCUAAUGAAUAAUGGAAUUUAUUGCAUUGUAAUUUAUAAAUUUUUCCCUUGUUUAUUCAACAAAUAUUUAUUGGAGAACCAAUUGUAUGAUAGAUAACAGGAAUGAAAAGGUGAAUUUGGACACAUUCCCUGUUUUUAAGCAAUUUACAUUGUUGCAGAGGAGGCUUGGAAAUAAACAGUUAUGUUGCAAUAUGACAAGUGUUUAUAAAAGUGGCAAAUAGGGGCUGGCCCCGUGGCCGAGUGGUUAAGUUCGCGCGCUCCGCUGCAGGCGGCCCAGUGUUUCGUUGGUUCGAAUCCUGGGCGCAGACAUGGCACUACUCAUCAGACCACACUGAGGCAGCGUCCCACAUGCCACAACUGGAAGG
Molecule: long non-coding RNA, 2306 nt
Filed under: Equus caballus (horse)
Lineage: Eukaryota; Metazoa; Chordata; Mammalia; Perissodactyla; Equidae
Description: lncRNA (ENSECAG00000053203.1)
Source: RNAcentral